AUGAACGCUAGCGAUCGGCUUCACCCCUGCCAGUCGCGGGGCAGCAUGGUCUUAGCUUGCUCCGGCUGAUGGCGGCCGGCGCACUGGUGCGUAACGCGUAUGCAACUUGCCUCACAGAGGGGGAUAACCCGUCGAAAGACGCACUAAUACCGCGUACACUCUAUGUUGGGCAUCCAAUGUAGAGGCAAUGAAAUUCGCUGUGAGAUAGGCAUGCGUCCCAUUAGCUAGUUGGUGAGGUAACGGCUCACCAAGGCGACGAUGGGUAGGGGAACGGAGAGGUUGAACCACUAGGAUGGUACUGAGACACGGACCAGACUGCGAGGGGAGGGAGCAGUGAGGAAGACAGGGCAAGGGACGAGAGCCUGAACCAGCCAAGUGGCGUGAAGGAGGACUGGCUUAUGGAUCGUAAACUGCUUGUAAACGGGAAUAACAAGAGUCACGUGUGGCGCCAUGAAGGUACCGUAUGAAUAAGCACCGGCUAACUCCGUG
Molecule: ribosomal RNA, 489 nt
Filed under: uncultured bacterium
Lineage: Bacteria
Description: partial 16S ribosomal RNA
Rfam family: Bacterial small subunit ribosomal RNA
Source: RNAcentral